UUGCGAAAUAACUGACAAUCAAGUUGGAACUUCCCACGGUAAAUCACUAUCUGAACAAAUACAAAAAUUAACCAAGUGCCAAACAGCAAUUCGGGAACUAAAAUAAUUACAUAUGCAUGUACAUUUACAUUAUUGCGUACAUAUGUAAUUGAACAAAACCGUUUUUGAGGCAAACACAAAUUAAUGAUUCUUAAAUAAUUAAGUGACGCAAAUACCUCAGAGCCUUUACAGUGAAUUUAUAAUCUGUAAUAUGAGCUGCAUACGACUGCGGUGAGUUCUGAAAUGUAAUUGUGUGUUGAAUGGCUUGAUGUGCCCAACUUUUGUGGUGUAAAAGUAAAAAUACGGGAUGUAUAAGUUCAGUUAGUGAAGAACUUUCGUUGAAACUACUCUACGGCUCCAAAAGAUAAAGUGUAUAACACAUUAUCAAAAAUUUACUGAAAAUCCGCAAAUCCAUUGUCCACAUUUAAAAAGUGAUAUCAAUUAUACAAAAAGAUUGACAUUUUAUCUGAACGUGUUGAAUAGUUUCACUAAACCUCGCAAAAACAAAUAAAGACAUACUAACGACAAUAAUUCCUGUAACAACUGGUACGGUUUUAACAUACCGGCAAAUAUUACUUAUAAAACUAUGACUAUAUGAGUAUAAAAUAUAAUGUAAUGCCAUUCUAGUUUUGGUAUACAAAGUAUAUAAGAUAUUCUCACCCUAAAUUGUAAUAUAUGAACACCAAAAAAAACAUGUAGAUUUACAUAUGUAAUUUGAUCGUACAAGUUUACAAAUUUUCUAUCAUUCGAAAAGUAAUAUCGGAAAUAAUAACAUUGCUCAACAGUCGAGAUAAAUUUAUAUAAACGCCGAAAGUAAUGGCGAUGGAAUGGAUUACCGCAAUGGACAAACGUCCUUGUGAUCGCAAUUUACGCGAUGCUGAACUGAUAUCCUGUCGUCUGCGACGCGUGGAGCCACUGUGUCGUCUGCCCAGUUCGGCACUGCAGCAAUUAGCCAUGUGCGGCUUCUAUGAGGAUUUAGAAAAGGGUGUGACAUUAUUUCGUGCUGGUGAACAGGGUCGUUUUUGGUACGCCGUUCUAGGUGGGUCGCUUGAAGUUCGUUACCAUGCUUCAGAGAACGAUGCCAAAGCACCAGUAAGUUUGUACAAUCUUAGUGUGGGCGCUACAUUCGGGGAGUCCAUAUUACAUGAACUACCACGAGAUAGCACUGUUGUCACGAAAACCACUUGCGAGUUGCUUCGUGUGGAACAACAAGAUUUUCGACUUAUUUGGGAAAAAAAUAAAGAAUUGAUGAAUGACAUUAUUACAACUUGCAAAUUGAAAAAUGGAUUCGGUUCCGGAGUUUCACCAAUUGCUUCGUCCCCAACUAAGCGUCCUUUAAGUCCAGAUCAUCCGAAUCCCGCUUUACCUAUUUCUGAGGUAAAGGCGUUUUUCAAUAUCACAUACAAUAUUUUUGAUACUACAUAUAUUUAACGCCGACGGGUACAUUUAAAAUGAACAUAUUCAGCUUUUCUCAUAUUGAUCGUACGUUCCUUUAUAACUGGUAUAUUAAUAAUUUCUUAUUUACCAUCACAACCAUGUUGCAAUUAUACAUCCAAUACAUCCGUCUUCGCCAGUCUCCGAGUUCUACUAUGAGUCGAAUGGGAUGGGCCUUGCGUACACUCCUUAUUGCUGAUGGUUCAAGUUGUCUCAAGGAUAGAAAAGUAGCUGGUAAAUUUAUUCGAAAAUGUGCACCAGGAACAGAAUUAGUGGAUUGGCUGUUGAAUUUAUCAUCUAUUGUUCAUACUCGGGCCCAAGCUGCUGGCAUGUGGCAAGCGUUGCUCGAAGAAGGGGUGUUAUCCCAUGUGAAUAAAGAGCAACCCUUUAAGGAUAAAUGUUUUUUGUACCGUUUUCGUGUUGACGAAGAUGGCAGUGCUGGCAGCUACUCGACAACCGAGGAUAUUAAUGCAGCUAAUGAAUAUGUUCGAGAGUCUCUGAGCACACUUUUCCAACGUGGACCAGAUGCAAUACUGCGAAUGAUUUUACGAAAGCCCUCACACGAAAGAACUCCCGAAGAACUUGAACUUAUUUUUGAGGAGCUUUUACACAUAACAGCCCUUUCGCAUUUGUCGACAAGUAUAAAACGCGAACUCUCCGCCAUUAUCGUUUUUGAAUCACAUGCACAGGCUGGAACAAUACUAUUUAAUCAAGGUGAUGAAGGUCGUUCUUGGUAUAUAUUGCUUAAGGGAUCUGUCGACGUUGUAAUACAUGGGAAAGGUACUGUAGCUACUCUUAAGAAUGGUGAUGAUUUUGGUAAACUCGCAUUAAUAAACGAUGCUCCCAGAGCUGCAACAAUCGUCUUAAAGGAGAAUAAUUGUCAUCUUUUACGAGUUGAUAAGGAGCAUUUCAAUCGUAUUCUACGCGAUGUGGAGGCCAACACGUUGAGACUUCAAGAACACGGCAAGGAUGUUUUAGUGUUGGAGCGAGUGGCUAAGCAACGUGGCCAGCAUUCGGCAUUUAAGUAUACGGUCAUGUCGGGAACACCAUCAAAGAUGUUAGAACAUUUACUGGAAACACGUCUCGGAAAUCAAGUGAGCGGUUUGGAUCCCUUUUUGGACGAUUUUUUGCUUACACACAUUGUUUUCAUGCCUGUUGUGCAGUUAGUGGAUGAGCUUGCCAAUUAUUUUCAUUGCGAUUCGAACAAUGGUUCGCAAACCCCAGAAGAUCGGGAAUAUAUAAUUAACUUCAAGAAGCGCGUUGUUCAGUUCAUGCAAAAAUGGGUGACGGCCGUGCGGCAUGCAGCAUUCGACGAACCAAGUGUCUGUGAUUUUAUUGAGGAUUUAGCAACUGAAAUAGAAGCCGAUCAAGAACUAAGUGAAGAAACUAGUAUUAUACAUAAUGUUCUUACACAAAUGACACGCUACCAAGAGGAUCGUAAUCAAAACACUGGACAGAAAUGGAAGCUACCACCAAAUGGACAACCUAUUUGUUUAUUUAGCGGAAAUGCUACACCUUCAAAAACUAUUAUUCGUCCCGAUGACGAUAUCAUAUUCCGAGUAUACUGCGCCGAUCACACAUAUUGCACUUUACGAUUUCCGCUGCAUACUACCGCCGGGAUAAUAAAAGCCUGCGCUGCCGAUAAGCUGCAGUUGAACCGAGGUCCUGAAGAUCUAGUACUAAUCGAAGUAAAAUCCAACGGAGAGCGUUCAGUCUACAAAGAUAAUGAUGUUAGUGUGCCCACUAGCCUCAGUCUAAAUGGUCGUCUUUUUGUCUCAGUGAAAGAUCACCUAGAUGCAUUGACACCACUCCCCGAACAAGAAGGACCUACUGAAGGCAUAGACAUUGAUUUGGAAAUAUUGAGCACCAAAGAAAUAGCGUACCAAAUGACACUUUUUGAUUGGGAUCUGUUUUGGGCAGUACAUGAGUAUGAACUACUGUAUCAAACAUUCGGGAGACAUCACUUUGGCAAAAUAACCGCCAAUCUAGAUGUAUUUCUCCGUCGCUUUAAUGAAUUGCAAUUCUGGAUCGCAACGGAAAUAGUAUCUACCAGCAGCAUGUGUAAACGUGUUGGAUUAUUAAGAAAAUUUAUCAAAUUGGCUGCCUACUGCAAGGAAUACCAGAAUCUGAACGCUUUCUUUGCCAUCACUAUGGGCCUUUCAAAUAUGGCCGUUUCGCGACUCACACAAACCUGGGAGAAAAUACCUUCGAAAUUUCGAAAGCUUUUCCAGGAAUUCGAAGCUCUCAUCGAUCCCAGUCGCAAUCAUCGUGCGUACCGUGUUUAUGUAGGCAAAUUGCAACCGCCAGUAAUACCAUUUAUGCCACUCUUACUGAAAGAUAUGACUUUUGCCCAUGAAGGUAAUAAAACUAGUUUAGAAGGUCUAGUUAAUUUCGAGAAAAUGCAUCUGAUGGCACAGACUAUGCGCACCAUUCGCUUCUGUCGCUCACGAAGUUUAGGACUGGAGCCACCAUCACCAAAGAGUGAAGGAGAAGUACGGUCAUACAUUAGUUGCCUCCGUGUUAUUGACAACCAGCGGGUUUUGACAGCUAUGUCGCAAAAAAUUGAACCAAUACGCAAAGUAUAAAGCAAAUAGUGUUUUCGACACAACGCUUACAUAUAUUAGCUGUAAACUUAAAUCGACAUUUAUUCAAGUAUUUUAUUCCAUAUGCUUUAACGUAGAAUACUAAUACAUUAACUUAUUACACUAACAAAUAUAUAGUCCAUAAUUAGGAAAUUCUAUAUAUGUACAUUUAGUAAGUACGUACAUAUGUAUGUGCUAAACUAAUGCGUAAAUUAGUCCCGUUGUUACAUAUUUAUAAUAUCCCUAUCAUACAAUUAGUAAAAAUACAUGUAUGUAGAUAAAAAGUAAGCUUACAAAUUUAUAUCUUAUUUACCCUUAUUUGUUAUUGUCUUGACACUAAUUUUAUUUUUACCACUUUUUAUAAAAAAAAAAUCCGCCAAGCAUUCAAAACAGGGGUGCUCAAGCCGUAGCCGACUUUGUUCAUUUGGCUAAAACCAACGUUAACAAACAAACUUUUUAUAUGAGCAUUUUAGCAUACAUUAAGUAAACGAAAUUAAAUGUUUUUUGGUUAUUAUUUAUCUAUGUAAGAUAUAUGUACGUAUAUGGGUAUCAUAUUCUUUACAAUCGGUAUAUUUCUUUUAUUAUAUAUAUUGUUCUUAAAAUCGAUCAGCAAAAAGGAGAUGGUAUAAUUAUAGAUUGAUAGAUAUCUAUUUCCCCAAUAACACAGUCAUAUAUAUAUGUUUAUCUGUGCCUACUGUCUAUGUGACAAAUCACAAACAUUAGCUGGAAAAUUGUUGGGAGUUUACCAUAUUUUAUUUUCGGUAAAUAUUCAUUUUGGUAGCGUUUUCGUUCAAUUAAAAGGAAAAACAUGAGUGGCAGGAAAAGAUAGACAAAAAACUGUACGAGUAUGAAUUUCUGUAGCUAUUACUAAUGCUGUGGGGACAAUAAACCCCGUAUAUUUUGGCUCUAAAUAUAAAAAUUGUUUAUGAAGAAACAGCGUAUUUUGAACUGAUUGAGCUGCAUCAAACACAAAUGCUACCACGAGUUUAAUCAUUAAACUAUUAAAUAUUUUCUUCUAAGUAUAAAACUAACAAUUUAUUCUAUGCGUAUUACAAUAACGCAAUUUAUGCAAUAUUAAUAUUCAUGUAAUAAGUAAAUAAUCAUAUAUACGUGUAUAUAUAUUAAAGACUUUUUAGCAUAUACUGUAGAGCGAUAUUUUCGUUUCUUACAAAUGCGCUAGUUCGUAAUUACAUAAACACCAAAAUCUUAUAAUCUAAAAUAUAUUUAUUGACCCUUAUACACAUAUGUAUGUACAUAAAAAUGUAUGUUAAUAUUAUAAUUUAAUUUAAAUAGUUACCACCAUCGAUCGAGAAUUAGUGGAAAUAUAUUUAUAGCUGUAAGAAAUUUUAUUCAAAGAUCAAAAACUUUAAUAAAUCUACGUGAGCCACUUUUCUUCGAUCUAUUAAAAUCAAAAUAUUAGGGAAUCACAAAAAGUCUUUAGAUUGAGCAAACCUUUUAUUCUAAAGAAAUAAUCGGUAACAUUUCUAGAGUUGUUAUUUAUGUUUAUAUUACACCAGUACUACGAGUCUUAAAUCUUAAACCUACAGACCACCCAGAAGAGCUAAAACACCCAAUGGUUUCUUAAAAAACGAAUUUUGUAUUUACAAAUAUGUGUAUUUAGAACCUUUCAGUUUACAUUGACAAUUCUAAAUGUAUAACACCAAACCGUAACACACACCAUAGGGACAAUGAAAAUUUAUAUACAAAAGCCUUUUAUUACUUUAUCUAUAACAAAUUUCAAUGUCGUCCAUUUACCACUUACCAUAAGUACUAUUAAUCAAGAAUAAAUGUAUAUAAAAUCAAAGAAUUAA
This is a non-coding RNA of Bactrocera oleae (olive fruit fly), 5866 nucleotides long. The record is from RefSeq and is a predicted model, not a curated record. Lineage: Eukaryota; Metazoa; Arthropoda; Insecta; Diptera; Tephritidae.